CCUACGGGGGGCUGCAGUGGGGAAUUUUCCGCAAUGGGCGAAAGCCUGACGGAGCAAUACCGCGUGAGGGAGGAAGGCUCUUGGGUUGUAAACCUCUUUUCUUAGGGAAGAAAGCAAUGACGGUACCUAAGGAAUCAGCAUCGGCUAACUCCGUGCCAGCAGCCGCGGUAAUACGGAGGAUGCAAGCGUUAUCCGGAAUGAUUGGGCGUAAAGCGUCCGCAGGUGGCACUUCAAGUCGAUUGUUAAAGCUCUUGGCUCAACCAAGAAAGAGCAGU
RNAcentral lists this ribosomal RNA (275 nucleotides) under uncultured bacterium. RNAcentral's name for it is "partial 16S ribosomal RNA". It matches the Rfam family "Bacterial small subunit ribosomal RNA", at positions 338 to 627 of the family's 1533-position model. The record is from RNAcentral.